Molecule: long non-coding RNA, 486 nt
Organism: Leptidea sinapis
Lineage: Eukaryota; Metazoa; Arthropoda; Insecta; Lepidoptera; Pieridae
Exons: 3
Source: RefSeq, a predicted model, not a curated record
GCAGUAUCUAUAUAAGGCAAGUGAAGUAGGUUUACAAGUCUUAUACUCAUCUAGAAAUUUCUUCAUUGUAUUCCAAGUCAAUAGGAGAAGUUACAAACAUUAGCCAUGAGGGUAUUAUUAUUUAUUACAUCGAUUUUAGUAAUUAUUGCAUGGGUAAAUACACUACCACUGGGGUUGUGUACACAUAUAUGCCCACCUAAAUUUAAGCCUGUUUGCAGCAAAGAUGGAAGUACGUACCGCAAUAUAUGUAUCAUGAAGUGUCGCGGUAGAGCAUUUAAUUACCCAGGAUACUGUCGACCUCCUGGUUCCUCUGAUCACAAUCAAAGUUCUACUACUACUACUACUACUGUGAAGCAGUAAGCAGCACAGAGAAACCAUCAUGAAGCCAAUAAAAAGUCAAUCACUUUGUGUUUGAAGUAUUUUACGUAUUAUAUUUAAAUGAAUUUCUAAACUAUGUAUAACAAUAAAUAAAUCAAGCAACAAUAA